This is a long non-coding RNA of Gavialis gangeticus (Gharial), 1130 nucleotides long. RefSeq lists it as uncharacterized. The record is from RefSeq and is a predicted model, not a curated record. The transcript has 4 exons. Lineage: Eukaryota; Metazoa; Chordata; Crocodylia; Gavialidae.
CAUACAAAUAAACAAAUGAAUAAGUAAAGGGAGAGAUAAAUAAAAGGAGCCAGGCAUGCUGUGCCUGCAUUUUGAAUAUCGAUCCGCAUCCCCUUGUGUACGUAUCAGUGGAUCAAUGUCUGGCUGAAAGAGAAAUCACCUACUAAAACAGUUGGGAAAGAGCUGCAGACACAACGUUAAUAUUAAUCAAAACAAAUCCUCCCUCUCCACCCCGCCCCACGCUGCCCAGGAGCCGACUGAGAGACAACAAGCAGCAGUGUCUGCUGAGCAGCCAGAAAUAGGACAACCCUGGAGGAACCAGUUGGUUAAUGAAACCUUUGCCAAUGAAGUUUGUGGAUGCCUCGGAGAAAGAAAGAAGUGGCCGGCUCGAGCAUGUGUACAACAUGGACUUCCUUGCCAGACUGGGACAUACUUAAAUUAUGGCAUUUUUCAUCUUGAUUGUCAAUUAUAAUCUACUGGAAGUUAGAGAAGAAGAGGCUGCAAUUACACUUUGUACAUUAAAGUACCACAAGACCUACAGACAGCAACCAGGCUGGACUUCAUUGUGCUGGUCUGUUACCCUGUUUCCUACUUGUUUCACCCUGGUACAGAAUGAGAACAUCUACAAGGUCUCUACUCUGAGAGCGGAGUCGAGGAGGUGGAUCUCUUCCCAAUGAGAACAGGCUGGAGAGUUUCUUACUCAAGUCUCAAAAGCUCAUGAACAGCUUUCCAGAAGACUCGGAUUGAAACCAGACACCUAGAUGUGAAGGCUUCUGCAUGCUUAAUGAAUUGAGGAUACCAUUCAGCUCCAUCUUGACUAUUUUAAGUACAAGGGCAAGUGCCUGAUUUUUGUAAGUAGGGUUUCUGUGCUAUAUGUGUAUGAUUGUAUUGUCAUGUGUUUAUUUUCCCUUAUGAAGAGAGUGUGCUGAUUUUCACGUUUCCUUUUCUCAUGCUUAUAUUACCUGAUUGCUGUGUCCCCUAAGCAGAUAUUAUGGAAGAAGCUGAGCCAUUGUAAAGCAUAUAUGAUUUUACCAGCUUAAUUUUUCACUUAGACGCAUAGAGAGUGGGGUAAAAGUCUCAUGUGGUAUAAAACAAAAGUAUCCCAAGCUUAUCUAAUCAUGGAAACAUUGACAUCUGGGCUAGAAGUCAUA